GUGGUGACUGUCACUAGUCACCCCAUCCCUCCCUCUGUCACUAAUCACCACCUCCCUCACUCUGUCACUAGUCACCUCUUCCCUCUCUCUGUCACUAGUCACACCCUCCCUCUCCCUGUCACUAGAGUGAGGGGGUGACUAGUGACAGAGUGAGGGGGUGACAGAGUGAGGGAAGGGGUGACUAGUGGCAGAGUAAGGGAAGGAAGGGGUGACUAGUGACAGAGUGAAGGAGGUGGUGACUGUCACUAGUCACCACCUCCCUCACUCUGUCACUAGUCACCACCUCCCUCUGUCACUAGUCCCUCCUUCUGUCACUAGUCACCCCCUCCCUCACUCGGUCACCAGUCAUCCCGUCCCUCUGUCACCAGUCAUCUGCUCACUCUGUCACCAGUCACCCCUUCCUUCCCUCACUCUGUCACCAGUCAUUCCCUCACUCUGUCACCAGUCAUUCCCUCACUCUAGUGA
This is a non-coding RNA of Pelobates cultripes (western spadefoot toad), 465 nucleotides long. The record is from the annotation of a GenBank genome assembly. Lineage: Eukaryota; Metazoa; Chordata; Amphibia; Anura; Pelobatidae.